RNAcentral lists this ribosomal RNA (729 nucleotides) under Candidatus Tremblayella phenacoccinincola. Its description in RNAcentral is "bacterial SSU rRNA". It matches the Rfam family "Bacterial small subunit ribosomal RNA", at positions 658 to 1382 of the family's 1533-position model. Lineage: Bacteria; Pseudomonadati; Pseudomonadota; Betaproteobacteria. The record is from RNAcentral.
GGGAUAGAAUUCCAGGAGUAGCGGUGAAAUGCGUAGAUAUCUGGAGGAAUACCAAAGGCGAAGGCAGUCCCCUGGUCCGAUACUGACACUGAGGUACGAAAGCGUGGGGAGCAAACAGGAUUAGAUACCCUGGUAGUCCACGCCCUAAACGAUGUCGAUUAGCCAUUGGAAGGACCCCUUUUCCUUUCAGUGACGUAGCUAACGCGUUAAAUCGACCGCCUGGGAAGUACGACCGCAAGGUUAAAACUCAAAGGAAUUGACGGGGACCUGAACAAGCGGUGAAUGAUGUGGAUUAAUUCGAUGCUACGCGAAGAACCUUACCUACCUUUGACAUGGCCAAAAUUCUACCGAGAGGCGGAAGUACUCGUAAGAGGAUUGGCGCACAGGUGCUGCAUGGUUGUCGUCAGUUCGUGUCGUGAGAUGUUGGGUUCAGUCCCGCAACGAACGCAACCCUUAUCUUUAAUUGCUCCUAUUUUAACAGGCACUUUAAAGAAACUGCCAAUGAUAAGUUGGAGGAAGGUGGGGAUCACGUCAAGUCCGCAUGGCCUUUAUAGGUAGGGCUUCACACGUCAUACAAUGGUUAGAACAAAGAGCUGCAAAUUCGUAAGAAGGAGCCAAUCUCACAAACCUAACCUCAGUUCGAAUUGCGGUCUGCAACUCGAGCGCAUGAAGCCGGAAUCGCUAGUAAUCGUGGAUCAGAAUGCCACGGUGAAUACGUUCUUAGGUCUU